Molecule: ribosomal RNA, 253 nt
Filed under: uncultured bacterium
Lineage: Bacteria
Description: partial 16S ribosomal RNA
Rfam family: Bacterial small subunit ribosomal RNA
Source: RNAcentral
GACGUAGGGCGCGAGCGUUGUCCGGAUUUAUUGGGCGUAAAGAGCUCGUAGGCGGUUUGUCGCGUCGUUCGUGAAAACUCACAGCUUAACUGUGAGCUUGCGGUCGAUACGGGCAGGCUAGAGUUCGGUAGGGGAGACUGGAAUUCCUGGUGUAGCGGUGAAAUGCGCAGAUAUCAGGAGGAACACCGGUGGCGAAGGCGGGUCUCUGGGCAGUAACUGACGCUGAGGAGCGAAAGCGUGGGGAGCGAACAGG